UACAGAGGUCCCAAGCGUUGUUCGGAUUCACUGGGCGUAAAGGGUGCGUAGGUGGUCGGGUAAGUCUGAUGUGAAAUCUCGGAGCUUAACUCCGAAACUGCAUUGGAUACUAUUCGGCUGGAGGGUUGGAGGGGGGACUGGAAUUCUCGGUGUAGCAGUGAAAUGCGUAGAUAUCGAGAGGAACACCUGAGGCGAAGGCGGGCUACUGGGCCGAUACUGACGCUGAUGCGCGAAAGCCAGGGGAGCGAACGGG
RNAcentral lists this ribosomal RNA (253 nucleotides) under uncultured prokaryote. RNAcentral describes it as "partial 16S ribosomal RNA". It matches the Rfam family "Bacterial small subunit ribosomal RNA", at positions 524 to 776 of the family's 1533-position model. The record is from RNAcentral.